RNAcentral lists this ribosomal RNA (278 nucleotides) under uncultured bacterium. RNAcentral's name for it is "partial 16S ribosomal RNA". It matches the Rfam family "Bacterial small subunit ribosomal RNA", at positions 28 to 334 of the family's 1533-position model. The record is from RNAcentral.
GACGAACGCUGGCGGCAUGCCUAACACAUGCAAGUCGAACGAGACCUUCGGGUCUAGUGGCGCACGGGUGCGUAACGCGUGGGAAUCUGCCCUUGGGUUCGGAAUAACUCACCGAAAGGCGUGCUAAUACCGGAUGAUGUCGUAAGACCAAAGAUUUAUCGCCCAGGGAUGAGCCCGCGUAAGAUUAGGUAGUUGGUGAGGUAAAGGCUCACCAAGCCGACGAUCUUUAGCUGGUCUGAGAGGAUGAUCAGCCACACUGGGACUGAGACACGGCCCAG